Long non-coding RNA from Manihot esculenta (cassava), 480 nucleotides. RefSeq lists it as uncharacterized. The record is from RefSeq and is a predicted model, not a curated record. NCBI's taxonomy places the organism in Eukaryota, Viridiplantae, Streptophyta, Magnoliopsida, Malpighiales, Euphorbiaceae. The transcript has 3 exons.
CGCCUCGUCCUCACUGUCGCCUCCACCGCCGUUGCCACCCGCCGGUGCAACUUCCGAUCGUCGCCACUCCAUGUGCCAAAGAACUCUUGAUUAGCAUUUCUGAGAAGCAGGGAAGGAAAAUGAAUUCUGCUGAGUCUGCGAAUGACAUUCCCAAAUUUGUUGAAUUUUUUAAGAAGAGCAGUAUUAUCUUAGAGGUAGAGGGCAUGGCCAGCAGCUCUCUAUGAAUGAAAGACAUGAGGCAACAGAGAUGCAAAAGGAAACACGAGAGCAUACUCCACAAGCAAACAUAUUUUCAUCAUCACACAACUGUAGAUUCUACUUCUCCAUCAGAUGUUUCAGCAAACUGAUAGAUUUGUUUUAAAUUUUAUGAAUAUUGUUAAGUAUAUGGAUUUGUUCUAAACUUUCGAUUUUGUAAACAUUGUGAAGUAUUUGUGUGUAUGAAUAUGAAUUAUAAUGAUUAUGAAUGACUUUUAAUUUAUA